AUUGAACGCUGGCGGAAUGCUUUACACAUGCAAGUCGAACGGUAGAGGGGCAACCCUUGAGAGUGGCGAACGGGUGAGUAAUAUAUCGGAACGUGCCCAGUCGUGGGGAUAACGUAGCGAAAGUUACGCUAAUACCGCAUACGAUCUAAGGAUGAAAGCGGGGGACCGUAAGGCCUCGCGCGAUUGGAGCGGCCGAUAUCAGAUUAGGUAGUUGGUGGGGUAAAGGCUCACCAAGCCAACGAUCUGUAGCUGGUCUGAGAGGACGACCAGCCACACUGGAACUGAGACACGGUCCAGACUCCUACGGGAGGCAGCAGUGGGGAAUUUUGGACAAUGGACGCAAGUCUGAUCCAGCCAUUCCGCGUGCAGGAUGAAGGCCCUCGGGUUGUAAACUGCUUUUGUACGGAACGAAAAGGUUUGUCUUAAUACGAUGAGCUCAUGACGGUACCGUAAGAAUAAGCACCGGCUAACUACGUG
RNAcentral lists this ribosomal RNA (477 nucleotides) under uncultured bacterium. Its description in RNAcentral is "bacterial SSU rRNA". It matches the Rfam family "Bacterial small subunit ribosomal RNA", at positions 30 to 507 of the family's 1533-position model. The record is from RNAcentral.